AUAAAACCCCCUAAACUAGGGGUUUGGAGAGCUUCCAGGCUGGUGAACAUGUGGAAGUGAUAGGAGGGUGGCUCACACAAACAGCAUGAAGCCAGAAUGGACUGAAUGUCACAGCCUUUAUAACCCACACUGUGGCCGCAAGAAGAGAUUCAAAGAAAAGAAGAUCCUCCCUGCCAUUCCUCAGUGGCUGAAGUGCGUGGCCAGUCAUCAUUCGCUGAGCCCUUACUAGU
This 230-nucleotide long non-coding RNA is filed under the name Homo sapiens (human). RNAcentral describes it as "HSALNT0313139". The record is from RNAcentral. Lineage: Eukaryota; Metazoa; Chordata; Mammalia; Primates; Hominidae.